AUGGCAAAAUUCUGGUGGGGGAGUUCUAUUGACAGGAGGUCGCUCCAUUGGAUUGCAUGGGACAAACUCGCUACACCAAAAUGCAAUGGCGGAAUGGGCUUUCGAGACCUUCAGACAUUUAACUUGGCACUGCUAGGAAAGCAUGGUUGGCGCUUCAUGCUAAAUCCGAACUCCCUGUGUGCCAGGGUUAUGAAAGGAAGAUAUUUUCCUGACACGGACUUCAUGCACGCCUCUGUACGGAAAUCCUCCUCGGCGACGUGGAGAGCAAUUGUGGUAGGUCGUGAA
This 285-nucleotide ribosomal RNA is filed under the name Triticum aestivum (bread wheat). RNAcentral's name for it is "partial small subunit ribosomal RNA". Lineage: Eukaryota; Viridiplantae; Streptophyta; Magnoliopsida; Poales; Poaceae. The record is from RNAcentral.